AGAAGCUGCGAAGUUGCUGUUGCUCCGGCCGUGGCCACACGCCUCUCCGAAGAGAGGCAGUGAGACCGAGGAGCCUUAACAGUUACUAUGGCAACUGCCAAGCGCUGGGCCUAGCGGGGGAUGAUGAAGCCUGGGCGAGCGGGUGUUGCUGCUGCGGUAGCUUGCACUCAGCAGCAGCUCUGAAAGUCGAGACAGGCUUCGCACCUUUGCAGUUACAACAGCGGCUCUACGGACGAAGCUAGAGGAAAAGGGAGGAGGGAUGAUUUAUCCCGGUUCGCGGCUGCGGGCAAGCUGCUGGCUACCAUUAGAUCUUUUGUUAAUGCUGGCAGAAGCCCUUCUGGGGUUUUUUUCAUCUAAUGCCCAUGUGGGUAUGCUAAUCUGGAGCAACACAAGCUUAGCUUGCUGAUUUCCUUGAUAUGGGUGCCUAUGAGAAGUGAGAUGGACUCAUGCAAAAUAUAGAUCAGACUGGAUGCCAACUGUGGAAGAAAGUACUGAGUCAUUUAAAAAACAAAAUCUGACCUAAACCUGGAGCCCUAUGAGAGAAAAGACCAUCUGUUUCAAAAUUUGCUAAAGUUCAUAAGCUUAAGUAGCUAUACCUAUUUUUAUCCCUGUGUUCAUUUGCCAAGAGGCACAAGACACAGAGCAUCUACUGCCAUUUUUCCUUCUAUAGCCUCUGUUUGCUUUACCUUCUCCCCACAUGAUGCUCCUUCCCCAAUGAAUUCAGGCUGAAAAUUGCAUCUUCCUUUCGACUGGGCUUACAUGUUUUACAGACCACUUAAAUUGGUUCAUUUGCACAUGUACAAAUUAAUUUCAUGAAAUAGCUGCUGUAGAAUCUGACUUUGUAAUCUGGAGUCCCACAAAUUCUGCUGCUAUAAAUGCUUUUUCCUUU
Rhineura floridana is the source of this 889-nucleotide long non-coding RNA. RefSeq lists it as uncharacterized. Lineage: Eukaryota; Metazoa; Chordata; Lepidosauria; Squamata; Rhineuridae. The transcript has 4 exons. The record is from RefSeq and is a predicted model, not a curated record.